GCUGCAUAGGGUCUUCCCGUCUACCUGAAGCAAACCGCAUCUGCACGGCUAAUUCAAUUUCACUGAGCAAGUUGUAGAGACAGCGAGGCCAUCGUUAUACUAUUGAUACCSCUCCGACAAUUAUCCUCAUAAGUUAGACGAUAAGAGGAACCCCCUAAAAUUUAUUAAGUUCCUAUUAGUAAAGUUUAGGUAGGUGGCACAUAAUCGGAAGCCCCGACUGUUUACUAAAAACACAAUUCAGAGCAAUGAUUUAAAUCAUAGUAUUCUGGAUGAAAUUUGCCCAAUGCCAUUAACAUAAGAAAGGUAAUAGGAAACUGUUACUGAUUGAAAGUCUGGUUAAUAGCGGUCUUAACUAUGAGGAUCCAAAGGUAGCAUAAUAGAUUGGCCAUUAAAUGUGGUCUUGUAUCAAUAGUGUAACGAUGGCUUCACUGUCUCUACAACUUGCUCAGUGAAAUUGAAUUACCCGUGCAGAUGCGGGUUGCCUCCAGGUGGACGGGAAGACCCUAUGCAGCUUU
RNAcentral lists this ribosomal RNA (515 nucleotides) under Etheirodon fimbriatum. RNAcentral describes it as "LSU rRNA". It matches the Rfam family "Bacterial large subunit ribosomal RNA", at positions 1454 to 2102 of the family's 2925-position model. The record is from RNAcentral. Lineage: Eukaryota; Fungi; Basidiomycota; Agaricomycetes; Polyporales; Steccherinaceae.